GCCAGCAGCUGCUUCCUCUCAGGGGACAAACUCAGAGUGCUUAACUUCCCCAGCCCAUCUCUUUGGAUUUCAGCUACAAGCUGGGCCUAGGACCCAGAACCAAAUGGCACUAUGGGCUCAUAUUUGCAUAAUACGCCACCAAACACACCCUUUCCCCCCUGGAGCUCAGGAGGAGAUAAAAGACACAUCCCAGGGACCAGCACCAGUUGUAAGGCCACGGGACCUUUGGGAAGUCCACAUCAUGACCUGGACUCCACUCUUCCUACUCCCCUUCCUCACCUACUGCCCAGGGACCAGUUCUGAGGCUGUGGUGACCCAGGAGCCCUCACUGACUGUGUCCCCAGGAGAGACAGUCACUCUCACCUGUGCCUCCAGCUAUGGUGCAGUCAGCAAUGGACAUUUUCCAUGUUGGUUCCAGCAGAAGCCUGGCCAAUCCCCUAGGACAUUGAUUUAUAAUACACACAAUAAACCUUCCUGGACCCCUGCCCGAUUCUCAGGCUCCCUCCUUGG
Molecule: long non-coding RNA, 510 nt
Organism: Mustela lutreola (European mink)
Lineage: Eukaryota; Metazoa; Chordata; Mammalia; Carnivora; Mustelidae
Exons: 2
Source: RefSeq, a predicted model, not a curated record